AGAGUUUGAUCCUGGCUCAGGACGAACGCUGGCGGCGUGCCUAACACAUGCAAGUCGAGCGAAGUUUAAUGGACAGCGGCUUCGGCCAACGUCUAUUAAACUUAGCGGCGGACGGGUGAGUAACACGUAGGCAACCUGCCCAUGACACGGGGAUAGCUUCGGGAAACCGGAGGUAAUACCCGAUACCUUUACUUACUGCAUGGUAAGUAAAGAAAGCGACUUAGCGGUCAUGGAUGGGCCUGCGUCCCAUUAGCUAGUUGGUGAGAUAACAGCUCACCAAGGCGACGAUGGGUAGCCGACCUGAGAGGGUGACCGGCCACACUGGAACUGAGACACGGUCCAGACUCCUACGGGAGGCAGCAGUGGGGAAUAUUGCGCAAUGGGCGAAAGCCUGACGCAGCGACGCCGCGUGAGCGAAGAAGGCCUUCGGGUCGUAAAGCUCAGUCAUUGGGGAUGAGUAGACAGUACCCAAGGAGGAAGCCCCGGCUAACUACGUGCCAGCAGCCGCGGUAAUACGUAGGGGGCGAGCGUUGUCCGGAAUUACUGGGUGUAAAGGGCGUGUAGGCGGGGAUGCAAGUUACCGGUAAAAACCCGCGGCUCAACCACGGGCUUGCCGGUAAAACUGUAUCUCUUGAGUGUAGGAGAGGGAAGUGGAAUUCUCCGGAGUAGCGGUGAAAUGCGUAGAUACCGGGAGGAACACCAGUGGCGAAGGCGGCUUCCUGGCCUACUACUGACGCUGAGGCGCGAAAGCUAGGGGAGCGAACGGGAUUAGAUACCCCGGUAGUCCUAGCCGUAAACGAUGGUCACUAGGUGUGGGUGGUGGUCAAGCCAUCCGUGCCGGAGCUAACGCAAUAAGUGACCCACCUGGGGAGUACGGCCGCAAGGCUGAAACUCAAAGGAAUUGACGGGGGCCCGCACAAGCAGUGGAGUAUGUGGUUUAAUUCGAAGCAACGCGAAGAACCUUACCAGGGCUUGACAUCCCUUGACCGCUGUAGAAAUACAGUUUCCCUUCGGGGCAAGGAGACAGGUGGUGCAUGGUUGUCGUCAGCUCGUGUCGUGAGAUGUUGGGUUAAGUCCCGCAACGAGCGCAACCCCUGUCGUUAGUUGCCAGCACGUAGAGGUGGGCACUCUAGCGAGACUGCCGGUGACAAAUCGGAGGAAGGUGGGGACGACGUCAAAUCAUCAUGCCCCUUAUGUCCUGGGCUACACACGUACUACAAUGGUUGCUACAGAGGGCAGCGAAGCCGCGAGGUGGAGCAAAUCCCUAAAAGCAGCCCCAGUUCGGAUUGCAGGCUGAAACUCGCCUGCAUGAAGUCGGAAUUGCUAGUAAUGGCAGGUCAGCAUACUGCCGUGAAUACGUUCCCGGGCCUUGUACACACCGCCCGUCACACCAUGAGAGUCGGCAACACCCGAAGUCAGUAGUCUAACCGCAAGGGGGACGCUGCCGAAGGUGGGGCGUGAUGAUUGGGGUGAAGUCGUAACAAGGUAGCC
This 1491-nucleotide ribosomal RNA is filed under the name Tepidanaerobacter acetatoxydans. RNAcentral's name for it is "bacterial SSU rRNA". It matches the Rfam family "Bacterial small subunit ribosomal RNA". The record is from RNAcentral. Lineage: Bacteria; Bacillati; Bacillota; Clostridia; Thermosediminibacterales; Tepidanaerobacteraceae.